CGAGGCGGCGGCGCGCGGGGGGCCGGGCGCAGUGCGCAGGCGUGGGCGGCGGCGUGCGGAGGCGGGUUUGAACGGUGGCGGGCGGCGGAGCGGAGCUGCGAAUGGAGUCCGUCCUGAAAGGUGUUUCAGCAUUUGUAGAUGUUUGGUCAUCCAACAGAACAGAAAACUACUCGAAAACCUUUGAACAGCAACUUCUUGAUAUGGGAGCAAAAGUUUCAAAAACUUUCAACAAGCACGUGACCCAUGUAGUCUUCAAAGAAGGACGUUUGGCUACAUGGAGAAAAGCACAGAAGACUGGUGUAAAAAUAGUUUCUGUACUCUGGGUGGAGAAAUGUCGAGAAACUGGAGUACAUGUUGAUGAAUCUUUAUUUCCUGCAGUAUACGCUAAUGAAGGAUUGCCAUUGCUGAUUAAAAAACACAAAUGUAUGCAGCCGAAAGACUUUGUUGAAAAAACUCCAGAAAAUGAUAGAAAGCUGCAGAGGAGGCUGGACCAGAUGGCUAAAGAAUUAGCUAUACAAAAAACGGCAAGUAAUGCUGAAACUGAUAUACCAGUUUUAUUAUUUGAAGAUGAUGGUUCGCUUGUAUAUAGCCCUGUUAAUAAGAUAAAAGACCAAUGCAGUGCAAUGGAAAGACGAAUAAAGGAGAUGAAGGAAAAGAGAGAAAAUCUGUCUCUUACUGCUUCACAGAUAUCUCAGAUACCUCCAUGUAAUUCACCAAAAGACUGCCAGCUGUCCGCCUGCAUUUUAACUGAUUCACCAGAUGCAUUGCCAGAAAAACAGAUGCAAGACUGCCUAAACUCAAGUUUUGAUGAUCUUUGGGGAACUAAUAAGUUCAAAAGACAGAAAACAGAGGUAGUUGAACACAUCUGUGAUACUCGGAGUGAUGCACACAUUUCCAUGAGUGCAUCAGUGAAUCCUCCCUCAUGUAGCUAUAACCAGAAGACCUUAACACCAAAGCAAUCUAGCAGGAGAUGCUUAGGUAAAAAACAGAUUUUGCAACACACUUUGGAUGAUAAAUUGUCUUCAGAAAAGAAUGAUUUUAAAAAGUUUCCAAACAAAAAUUGGAUUGGUGAAAAUACCAUAACUCCAUUUGCAAACAAAAGUUCACUUCCCCAAAUCAAGGGCUUGAGUCAUGUUACUCCUUCUGAAAAAAAAUUCCAGUUAAAUACGACUACUGCUUUGGUUGGCAGUCACUCUGAUUCACCAGUGAGCAGUGAAGACUUAAAUACACAUUCAUUUGGUAGAAGUUUGCCUGUUGACAUAAGCGAUUGUACUCUUGAAGACAAAAGGAAGAAGAAACCAAAAGUACGAUCUAGUUUGAAACUGGCUACCUCAGAACUGCGUGCAUCAGGGUCUGAAAAGGAAUUCUUGAGAGCAGUUACUACAUAUAACAAGCCUUUGUGCACUGAGGAGGCAUCUUAUGAAGACUACUUUUCAUCAUCUAAUUUAAAUGAAAAUGAAAUACAGAUAUGGGUACCAAAGAAAUCACAGAAUCCUCCUGAAGUUUGUUGCAAUGACUCUUUUAGAAAAAUAGAGUCACUUGAUGUGAGUUUCUAUAAGCUUCAUGCUACUCCUGAGAAAAGUAGGGAAAAAUCUAUUCCAGCAAACGAUGUUUCAUUAGAGAAUAACUUCAAGUCAACUGAACAUCCAGAAAGCAUACCAUUAAAUUGUAUGUCACAGGGUGAAAAUGCUGAGAAUACAGAAGCUCUAGAUUCUGACAUUGUGGAUAGGCAUGCUCUCGACAAAUCCUACGGAACCAAUAUGAAUUACUGUACUCACAUUACUGGUGAUGAAAAUGAAGUUUCAGAGUGUCAUGUUACUGAUGGCUCUUGCAAACUUUUUAAUGAACAAGAAAAUAAGCUCAAUGGGGGGUUAAGGAAAACUGGAAGACUUCAAAAGCCAACAAGAACACUAGUUAUGACGAGUAUGUCUUCUGAAAAACAAAAUACCAUAAUUCAGGUAGUGAAUAAACUUGGAGACUUUUUGUUCUCAGAUGAUGUAUGCGAAACAACAAGUCAUGUAGUUGCAGGGAGUCCUCGUCGCACCCUGAAUGUUAUGCUGGGAAUUGCUCGUGGAUGUUGGAUCGUUUCUUAUGAAUGGGUUCUAUGGUCUUUGGAAUUGGGCCACUGGAUCUCAGAGGAACCGUAUGAGCUAUCAUCCAACUUCCCUGCUGCUCCUGAGGAGACAGCUUUUCAACUGAGAACUGUGAACUUCAAUAAAUAUCAGAUACAGUUGGAUGAUGUAGAAAAGAGACAGGAAUCAGCAUGAUCAGUUAUGCUGCACACUGACAAACCAUCUACUCAUUCCAGAGAUGAUCUCAUGUCUAAAUUACAAUACAGGAUAUUUACACACAAGUAUCAAAAGAAUGCAGUCUGGAGCAUAGUGUAAAUAAGGAAGAAAUUGCCUUGUCAAAGGUGGAAGAACUUCCUUGAUAAGGAUAUCACAGACCUUGCUAGCAGGGGAUGAAGAACCAUCUACAGAGGACAAGAAACAAGCAAAUCCUUUUACUUAAAAAAAGAGGCAAAGCUCUCCUCCAGCACAUUGUCACAUUCAUGAGUGGACAAGUGCCAGGGACCAUCAGACUGCCUUGCCGGAAACAUGGAAGGAGAGUUAUAACAGAAGACAUUUUCAUUACAUUAAGCUCUGUUACUCAAAAGAAGAAAAAUUACUGCACUAGAAAUGGUCUGAGGUGCUUCAUCUUUAGCCAUUGCCUGCCAUCUUCUCCUUAAUAAAGGGAAAGACCAACAUCUGAAGUAGAUCAGGACAGGCUCUGUCGGUCCACCUCUCCAGCAAACAUCGGUGCUAGGACAAAUUUGGACUUAUCCAAUCCAAUUCUGGAUUCUGACAGAAGCAGAAAAAGCUUUACAGAUUAUUUCUUUUUAAAAUGUAAUCAGACACCAGCGAGCUCUGAGGAUGGAGCGCCCCGUCCAGCCCUGCCGCUCGCUGCCUUCCACGUGGGGAAUCCCGGCUGCAGAUGAGUCGGAGGAGAACCCGCAUCUCAGCACAACCAGUGACGUGCAAACUAACGCACCCAGCGACACCCAGCUCCUGCCGAUGCCCCCAGCAGGUCACUAAGGAAAGGGCUCACAUCCAUGAAGAGAUUCAAUACAUAAAAACAGGUAUGGGUAAUGGCUCUAAUACAGUUGCAGUCGGUAUGGAUUUCUUCUAACAGCCAGUACUAAUGAGCCUCUGGCAGUGGAAGACAUCGAUAAGGAGCCAAACCUGAGGAGCAAGUAUGUGGGUCCUGAUCACCUUGCAGCUCCCGGUGAAAUCGGUGGUCGGGUGGGUGCUCAGAGGCCUCAUCGAGACAGGGUGCUCUGCAGAAGCAGUUUCCUGUUUUCACAACAUGAAGUGUGUGUUUGCCCUGCUCAACACCACAUUAGGUCUUUAUCUGGUCUUUGAUUUCUCCUGGGUUUCAUAAAUCCCCUCUAGCCCCAUCCCUCACUCCAAAGUACCAUUUAAUGUAGCCGGUGGAUAAAAAGCAUAUGUAACUUUUUCAAUAAGAUUUCUGGCUUCACUCUUUUAACCCAAAGAAUAACUAUAAAUAGUUUAUAAUGUCUGGGAUUUCCACAGCCUAAGUGCAGCUAUAAAUAGUUCUAAACAUUUUCCCACUUCAUGCUUUUGAAAAGAACAUUCUCCACUUCCUUUCUUGGCGAACCCCUGGGAAUAAUGCUAGAUCGCAGCUCAGAAAAUAUGUAUAUUAGGAGAGUUUAGCAAAACAUAGCUAACAAAGUUGCUAACAGCAGCUCUCAAAUUAAUUUCACAUAAGGAAAGGGUCAUGCAUCUUUUGUAACAAGUUCAUAUUCAUAAUUCACCCCAGGACACUCAAACCAACCAUUUGUGGUAUGUCUCUAUUCACUCAGCCCAUAAGGGUAUUUUGAGGGUUGUUUGUUUUUGCAAGGAAUUCGUUGUUCUCCGGCCUCGCAAGCGAUGGCAGGAUUUAUUUGUAUUUACUUGAAGUACGUGUGUGUCCAGCAUCUGGUAUUUCAGACAUUAAAGCAGAACACGUCCUUUCGUCUUAUUUUUAAGCACGACUUCAGUACCCUCCUGCAGACGUCUGUGCGACUGGAACCGCUCACCCGAGACGCGCAGGAAGGGCAUAAGCCCGGCUCGGCGGAGGCUUUCCCAGGCGGCGGCCCCGC
Molecule: RNA transcript, 4141 nt
Organism: Dromaius novaehollandiae (emu)
Lineage: Eukaryota; Metazoa; Chordata; Aves; Casuariiformes; Dromaiidae
Gene: MCPH1
Gene name: microcephalin 1
Exons: 16
Source: RefSeq, a predicted model, not a curated record